GAUGAAGAACGUAGUGAAAUGCGAUAAGUAGUGUGAAUUGCAGAAUUUAGUGAAUCAUCGAAUCUUUGAACGCACAUUGCACCUCUCGGUAUUCCGGGAGGUAUGCCUGUUCGAGCGUCAUUUGUACCCUCAAGCUCUGCUUGGUGUUGGGUGUUUGUUCCGCCUCUGUGUGUGAACUCGCCUCAAAACAAUUGGCAGCCGGCGUACUUGUUUCGGAGCGCAGCACAUUUUGCGAUCCAGAUCAACGUACAGCGGCAUCCAAGAAGCCUUAUUUAACGCUCUUGACCUCGGAUCAGGUAGGGAUACCCGCUGAACUUAAGCAUAUCAAUAAGCGGAGGA
This 339-nucleotide unclassified non-coding RNA is filed under the name soil metagenome. RNAcentral's name for it is "partial contains 5.8S ribosomal RNA, internal transcribed spacer 2, and large subunit ribosomal RNA". The stretch from base 1 to 120 matches the Rfam family "5.8S ribosomal RNA", at positions 35 to 154 of the family's 154-position model. The record is from RNAcentral.